Oncorhynchus keta (chum salmon) is the source of this 814-nucleotide long non-coding RNA. RefSeq lists it as uncharacterized. The record is from RefSeq and is a predicted model, not a curated record. The transcript is spliced from 3 exons. Lineage: Eukaryota; Metazoa; Chordata; Actinopteri; Salmoniformes; Salmonidae.
UACAGCAGAACAUUACCUAACAAUGCAAGACAAGGUCAUUAAACAUUGAUGAUACAUCAGAACAUUACCUAACAAUGCAAGACAAGGUCAUUAAACAUCGAUGAUACAGCAGAACAUUACCUAACAAUGCAAGACCUGGUCAUUAAACAUCGAUGAUACAUCAGAACAUUACCUAACAAUGCAAGACAAGGUCAUUAAACAUCGAUGAUACAUCAGAACAUUACCUAACAAUGCAAGACCUGGUCAUUAAACAUCGAUGAUACAUCAGAACAUUACCUAACAAUGCAAGACCUGGUCAUUAAACAUCGAUGAUACAGCAGAACAUUACCUAACAAUGCAAGACCUGGUCAUUAAACAUCGAUGAUACAGCAGAACAUUACCUAACAAUGCAAGACCUGGUCAUUAAACAUCAGAACAUUACCUAACAAUGCAAGACCUGGUCAUUAAACAUCGAUGAUACAUCAGAACAUUACCUAACAAUGUAAGACAAGGUCAUUAAACAUCGAUGAUACAGCAGAACAUUACCUAACAAUGCAAGACCUGGUCAUUAAACAUCGAUGAUACAGCAGAACAUUACCUAACAAUGCAAGACAAGGUCAUUAAACAUCGAUGAUACAGCAGAACAUUACCUAACAAUGCAAGACCUGGUCAUUAAACAUCGAUGAUACAGCAGAACAUUACCUAACAAUGCAAGACCUGGUCAUUAAACAUCAGAACAUUACCUAACAAUGCAAGACCUGGUCAUUAAACAUCGAUGAUACAUCAGAACAUUACCUAACAAUGCAAGACAAGGUCAUUAAACAUCGAUGAUACA